This 485-nucleotide ribosomal RNA is filed under the name uncultured Corynebacteriaceae bacterium. RNAcentral describes it as "bacterial SSU rRNA". It matches the Rfam family "Bacterial small subunit ribosomal RNA", at positions 33 to 507 of the family's 1533-position model. The record is from RNAcentral. Lineage: Bacteria; Bacillati; Actinomycetota; Actinomycetes; Mycobacteriales; Corynebacteriaceae.
AGUAGUUGACUCGUGCACGAGACACGCUGGCGGCGUGCUUAACACAUGCAAGUCGAACGGAAAGGCCGGGUGCUUGCACCCGGUACUCGAGUGGCGAACGGGUGAGUAACACGUGGGUGAUCUGCCCUGCACUUCGGGAUAAGCCUGGGAAACUGGGUCUAAUACCGGAUAGGACUACCGGUUGGUACUGGUGGUGGAAAGUUUUUCGGUGCAGGAUGAGCUCGCGGCCUAUCAGCUUGUUGGUGGGGUAAUGGCCUACCAAGGCGGCGACGGGUAGCCGGCCUGAGAGGGUGGACGGCCACAUUGGGACUGAGACACGGCCCAGACUCCUACGGGAGGCAGCAGUGGGGAAUAUUGCACAAUGGGCGCAAGCCCGAUGCAGCGACGCCGCGUGGGGGAUGACGGCCUUCGGGUUGUAAACUCCUUUCAACCAUGACGAAGCUUUUGUGACGGUAGUGGUAGAAGAAGCACCGGCUAACUACGUG